This 408-nucleotide ribosomal RNA is filed under the name uncultured bacterium. Its description in RNAcentral is "bacterial SSU rRNA". It matches the Rfam family "Bacterial small subunit ribosomal RNA", at positions 355 to 775 of the family's 1533-position model. The record is from RNAcentral.
UGGGGAAUAUUGCACAAUGGGCGAAAGCCUGAUGCAGCGACGCCGCGUGAGGGAUGACGGCCUUCGGGUUGUAAACCCCUUUCGACAGGGACGAAGCGCAAGUGACGGUACCUGUAGAAGAAGCACCGGCCAACUACGUGCCAGCAGCCGCGGUAAUACGUAGGGUGCGAGCGUUGUCCGGAAUUACUGGGCGUAAAGAGCUUGUAGGCGGUCUGUCGCGUCGAUUGUGAAAUCUUGCAGCUCAACUGCGAGCCUGCAGUCGAUACGGGCAGACUAGAGUACUUCAGGGGAGACUGGAAUUCCUGGUGUAGCGGUGAAAUGCGCAGAUAUCAGGAGGAACACCGGUGGCGAAGGCGGGUCUCUGGGAAGUAACUGACGCUGAGAAGCGAAAGCGUGGGUAGCAAACAG